UCGAACGAGAAAGGGGAGCAAUCCCUGAGUACAGUGGCGUACGGGUGAGUAACACGUGGAUGAUCUGCCCUUUAGUGGGGAAUAACUAUGGGAAACCGUAGCUAAUACCGCAUAAGCUCGAGAGAGGAAAGCCAGCUUUGUGAAAACAGAGCCGGCGCUGAAGGAGGAGUCCGCGGCCGAUUAGCUAGUUGGCAGGGUAAAAGCCUACCAAGGCAUAGAUCGGUAGCCGGCCUGAGAGGGCACACGGCCACACUGGCACUGAAACACGGGCCAGACUCCUACGGGAGGCAGCAGUGGGGAAUCUUGCACAAUGGGGGAAACCCUGAUGCAGCGACGCCGCGUGAGCGAUGAAGCCCUUCGGGGUGUAAAGCUCUUUCGGCAGGGAAGAUGAUGACGGUACCUGCAGAAGCAGCUGCGGCUAACUACGUGCCAGCAGCCGCGGUAAUACGUAGGCAGCGAGCGUUGUUCGGAGUUACUGGGCGUAAAGGGUGUGUAGGCGGUUGUUUAAGUUUGGUGUGAAAUCUCCCGGCUCAACUGGGAGGGUGCGCCGAAUACUGAAUGACUAGAGUGCGGGAGAGGAAAGUGGAAUUCCUGGUGUAGCGGUGAAAUGCGUAGAUAUCAGGAGGAACACCGGUGGUGUAGACGGCUUUCUGGACCGUAACUGACGCUGAGACACGAAAGCGUGGGUGGCAAACAGGAUUAGAUACCCUGGUAGUCCACGCCCUAAACGAUGCAUAUUUGGUGUGGGCAGUUCAUUCUGUCCGUGCCGGAGCUAACGCGUUAAAUAUGCCGCCUG
RNAcentral lists this ribosomal RNA (796 nucleotides) under uncultured bacterium. Its description in RNAcentral is "bacterial SSU rRNA". It matches the Rfam family "Bacterial small subunit ribosomal RNA", at positions 62 to 875 of the family's 1533-position model. The record is from RNAcentral.